GUAAGGAGUUUUCGGCAAUGGGGGGAACCCUGACCGAGCAACGCCGCGUGAGUGAAGAAGGCCUUCGGGUCGUAAAGCUCUGUCAUCAGGGACGAACGGCCGGUGGAGUGGAAAGCCACCGGAUUGACGGUACCUGAGAAGGAAGCCACGGCUAACUACGUGCCAGCAGCCGCGGUAAUACGUAGGUGGCAAGCGUUGUCCGGAAUUAUUGGGCGUAAAGCGCGCGCAGGUGGGAUCUUAAGUCCAUUUUUAAAGUUCGGAGCUCAACUCCGUGAUGGGAUGGAAACUGGGAUUCUUGAGUACCGGAGAGGAAAGCGGAAUUCCCCGUGUAGCGGUGAAAUGCGUAGGUAUGGGGAGGAACACCAGUGGCGAAGGCGGCUUUUUGGACGGUGUCUGACACUGAUGCGCGAAAGCCAGGGGAGCGAACGGGAUUAGAAACCCCAGUAGUCC
RNAcentral lists this ribosomal RNA (450 nucleotides) under uncultured bacterium. RNAcentral's name for it is "partial 16S ribosomal RNA". It matches the Rfam family "Bacterial small subunit ribosomal RNA", at positions 354 to 796 of the family's 1533-position model. The record is from RNAcentral.